Molecule: unclassified non-coding RNA, 253 nt
Filed under: uncultured Bacteroidota bacterium
Lineage: Bacteria; Pseudomonadati; Bacteroidota
Description: uncultured Bacteroidetes bacterium contains 16S-23S intergenic spacer region
Rfam family: Bacterial small subunit ribosomal RNA
Source: RNAcentral
UACGGAGGGUGCAAGCGUUGUCCGGAAUCAUUGGGUGUAAAGGGUGCGUAGGCGGGCAUCUAAGUCUGAGGUGAAAUCUUACCGCUUAACGGUGAAAUUGCCUUAGAUACUGGGUGUCUUGAAUCUGGCAGAGGUCGGUGGAAUUCGUGGUGUAGCGGUGAAAUGCAUAGAUAUCACGAAGAACACCAGUGGCGAAGGCGGCCGGCUGGGCUAAGAUUGACGCUGAGGCACGAGAGCGUGGGGAGCGAACAGG